GGGAACAUGGCUCAAGUAAUAGAGUGCCUGCCUGGCAUGUAUGAGGCCUUGAGUUCAAAUCUCAGUACCUCCA
RNAcentral lists this transfer RNA (73 nucleotides) under Dipodomys ordii (Ord's kangaroo rat). It matches the Rfam family "tRNA". From Rfam's summary of the family: Transfer RNA (tRNA) molecules are approximately 80 nucleotides in length. Their secondary structure includes four short double-helical elements and three loops (D, anti-codon, and T loops). Lineage: Eukaryota; Metazoa; Chordata; Mammalia; Rodentia; Heteromyidae. The record is from Rfam by way of RNAcentral.